CCCUACGGGGCGCACCAGGCGCGAAACCUCUGCAAUAGGCGAAAGCUUGACAGGGGUUACUCUGAGUGAUUUCCGCUAAGGAGAUCUUUUGACAACCUCUAAAAAUGGUGCAGAAUAAGGGGUGGGCAAGUCUGGCUGUCAGCCGCCGCGGUAA
This 154-nucleotide ribosomal RNA is filed under the name uncultured crenarchaeote. RNAcentral's name for it is "partial 16S ribosomal RNA". It matches the Rfam family "Archaeal small subunit ribosomal RNA", at positions 321 to 473 of the family's 1478-position model. The record is from RNAcentral. Lineage: Archaea; Thermoproteati; Thermoproteota.